AUCCAGAUGACGAGCCCCAAAUAUGACGAAACGCGCGUUCUAGAU
Schistosoma rodhaini is the source of this 45-nucleotide non-coding RNA. The record is from Rfam. Lineage: Eukaryota; Metazoa; Platyhelminthes; Trematoda; Strigeidida; Schistosomatidae.